AUGCUCCAUUUUUAUGUUCAUAUUAUUAGCGACACUUUUUUGGGGGGCGAAGAGAGUAGGAUACGACCGACCAAAUUCAGAGUUUCGAAUGGGGCUGGAAAGAGAGACUUUCGGGUGUGGAAACAGCGCCUGAAAAGGGGAGGCGGAAUUGCGGACCUCCCCUCUGAUUUCAAGGAGAAGGCGCCCACCGGCACCGCACCGCACCGCACCGGUUCCUCUCUGCGGCAGCAAACUCCUCCCAUCCAUCCCUCGUCCAUCCUGGCUCAGGUUCGCACCGCCUCCACCCUCUCAUCACCUCCUACCUACGCUUCGUCAUUUUUGACUAUAUUUACUCCCCGGCGUGCGCCCAUCGACCAAGGUAGCUGGGGUGAUUCCGGUGUUGCUUUCCUCUCAUGGCAGGCGCGAGAGGGUGGAGAUGAGGAGGAAGGCGCUCGCACGGGGCUUCUCCGCCGACGGCGUCCUCCGCCGCAGCCGCCCGCUCCCAGCGCGCCGCCGGCCACCGAAGGGGACAAUAAUAGCACGAGCAAGGAAAAAAAGAAGGGCGAGAUCACCAAGACCAUCCGAGACAGGCUAUCAUCGUCUUUCUCUUCCCCCAGAAGCCGCCUCUCCUGCUGGACGAGCCAUCCGAUCCGGCGGAGCAGGAGGGGGAGCGGCACGGCCAGCGACGAACAUGGCACGCCGGUGACGGCCAAGGCAAUCAGGCCCCCCUCAAGGAAGGUGGUCGCGGCAGGGACCAGAUCCCUGAUCGAACGCAACGAUUUCUACAGCCAAGAAUGCAACACGCACAAGUAG
This 792-nucleotide ribosomal RNA is filed under the name Triticum aestivum (bread wheat). RNAcentral's name for it is "partial small subunit ribosomal RNA". Lineage: Eukaryota; Viridiplantae; Streptophyta; Magnoliopsida; Poales; Poaceae. The record is from RNAcentral.